This 324-nucleotide ribosomal RNA is filed under the name uncultured eukaryote. Its description in RNAcentral is "partial 18S ribosomal RNA". It matches the Rfam family "Eukaryotic small subunit ribosomal RNA", at positions 1470 to 1796 of the family's 1831-position model. The record is from RNAcentral.
CCCUUAGAUGUCCUGGGCUGCACGCGCGCUACACUGACGUGUCCAGUAAGCACCUAACCUAUUCCGAGAGGAGCGGGUAACCUUAGCAAAGCACAUCGUGAUGGGGAUAGAUUAUUGCAAUUAUUAGUCUUGAACGAGGAAUUCCUAGUAAGCACAAGUCAUCAGCUUGUGUUGAUUACGUCCCUGCCCUUUGUACACACCGCCCGUCGCUCCUACCGAUUGAAUGUUCCGGUGAGCUCUUCGGACUGCGCGGUCUGCAGUUUCUGCGUUCCGUGCGGAAAGUUGUGCAAACCUUAACAUUUAGAGGAAGGAGAAGUCGUAACA